UACGUAGGGUGCAAGCGUUAAUCGGAAUUACUGGGCGUAAAGCGUGCGCAGGCGGUUUUGUAAGUCUGUCGUGAAAUCCCCGGGCUCAACCUGGGAAUGGCGAUGGAGACUGCAAGGCUAGAGUGUGGUAGAGGUAGCUGGAAUUCCCGGUGUAGCGGUGAAAUGCGUAGAUAUCGGGAGGAAUACCUAUGGCGAAAGCAGGCUACUGGACCAUCACUGACGCUGAUCUGCGAAAGCUAGGGGAGCAAACAGG
Molecule: ribosomal RNA, 253 nt
Filed under: uncultured prokaryote
Description: partial 16S ribosomal RNA
Rfam family: Bacterial small subunit ribosomal RNA
Source: RNAcentral